GUGGGGAAUAUUGCACAAUGGGCGAAAGCCUGAUGCAGCGACGCCGCGUGAGCGAUGAAGUAUUUCGGUACGUAAAGCUCUAUCAGCAGGGAAGAUAAUGACGGUACCUGACUAAGAAGCACCGGCUAAAUACGUGCCAGCAGCAGCCGUAAUUCGUAUGGUGCCAGCGUUAUCCGGAUUUCCUGGGUGUCAAGGGAGCGUCGGCGGAGAGGUAAGUGGAAUACCUAGUGUAGCGGUGAAAUGAUUAGAUAUUAGGAGGAACACCAGUGGCGAAGGAGGCAUACUGGACGAUAACUGACGCUGAGGAUCGAAAGCGUGGGGAGCAAACAGGAUAAGAUACCCGUGAAGUCC
This 351-nucleotide ribosomal RNA is filed under the name uncultured bacterium. Its description in RNAcentral is "partial 16S ribosomal RNA". It matches the Rfam family "Bacterial small subunit ribosomal RNA", at positions 354 to 796 of the family's 1533-position model. The record is from RNAcentral.